ACAGAGCAGCACGGCUGCUCUCGCGAGAUUGGCUGACGUGGCGUGGUGCGUUGCCAGGGCAACGGCUCUGCGUCCCCGCCCCUUGCCUAGAAAAAGCGUCGGGGAGAGCGGCGUCGUGUCGUUGCGCACCAUGGGCGGAGGGGAGGAGUCUGGGUGUGUGAAUCACGUGGGACUUUCAAACGCGGAGAAGCCCAACUGCAGUGAUUUCACAGACGUGCUCACCCCAGCCAGCAGUGUCUUGAGAAGCUACAGACUCCAUGGCCAAGGAAUGAACCAUCCUAGCCUAGCAGUUGGCCAUGAACUGACGUGUUUGCUGCAAAUCCUUGUCCUCUGCCUGAAAGAGUAAGGAACUGGGAGACGUGAGACUGCUCUUCCGGUAAGGUCAUUUAUGCCUACCCUUUUUUCAUCCUGGUUUUCCUGGGGCUGAAAUGUCCAUGCUUGUGCUUUGAAGGGAGCUCUGUUGUCUGUGUGUGCAGUCCGGUGUGGCACCUGGAAACCCAGUACUGUCCAUGGUAGUGUGGUGAAUUUGCAGGUGUUGGCCUCUAUCUUUGUACUGGUGACCUGAGAUUCCAGGAUGGAUGUCAAAAAACUGCAUCAGGC
This 600-nucleotide long non-coding RNA is filed under the name Gallus gallus (chicken). RNAcentral describes it as "lncRNA (ENSGALG00010009881.1)". Lineage: Eukaryota; Metazoa; Chordata; Aves; Galliformes; Phasianidae. The record is from RNAcentral.